RNAcentral lists this ribosomal RNA (506 nucleotides) under uncultured bacterium. Its description in RNAcentral is "partial 16S ribosomal RNA". It matches the Rfam family "Bacterial small subunit ribosomal RNA", at positions 30 to 523 of the family's 1533-position model. The record is from RNAcentral.
AUUGAACGCUGGCGGCAGGCCUAACACAUGCAAGUCGAACGGUAACAGGAAACAGCUUGCUGUUUCGCUGACGAGUGGCGGACGGGUGAGUAAUGUCUGGGAAACUGCCUGAUGGAGGGGGAUAACUACUGGAAACGGUAGCUAAUACCGCAUAACGUCGCAAGACCAAAGAGGGGGACCUUCGGGCCUCUUGCCAUCGGAUGUGCCCAGAUGGGAUUAGCCUGUUGGUGGGGUAACGGCUCACCAAGGCGACGAGCCCUAGCUGGUCUGAGAGGAUGACCCGCCACACUGGAACUGAGACACGGUCCAGACUCCUACGGGAGGCAGCAGUGGGGAAUAUUGCACAAUGGGCGCAAGCCUGAUGCAGCCAUGCCGCGUGUAUGAAGAAGGCCUUCGGGUUGUAAAGUACUUUCAGCGGGGAGGAAGGGAGUAAAGUUAAUACCUUUACUCAUUGACGUUACCCGCAGAAGAAGCACCGGCUAACUCCGUGCCAGCAGCCGCAGUAA